This 459-nucleotide ribosomal RNA is filed under the name uncultured bacterium. RNAcentral describes it as "partial 16S ribosomal RNA". It matches the Rfam family "Bacterial small subunit ribosomal RNA", at positions 339 to 795 of the family's 1533-position model. The record is from RNAcentral.
CUACGGGGUGCUGCAGUAAGGAAUAUUGGUCAAUGGACGCAAGUCUGAACCAGCCAUGCCGCGUGAAGGAUUAAGGUCCUCUGGAUUGUAAACUUCUUUUAUUUGGGACGAAAAAGGGUCUUUCUAGACCAACUGACGGUACCAGAUGAAUAAGCACCGGCUAACUCCGUGCCAGCAGCCGCGGUAAUACGGAGGGUGCAAGCGUUAUCCGGAUUCACUGGGUUUAAAGGGUGCGUAGGCGGGUAGGUAAGUCAGUGGUGAAAUCCUAGAGCUUAACUCUAGAACUGCCAUUGAUACUAUCUAUCUUGAAUAUUGUGGAGGUAAGCGGAAUAUGUCAUGUAGCGGUGAAAUGCUUAGAUAUGACAUAGAACACCUAUUGCGAAGGCAGCUUACUACGCAUAUAUUGACGCUGAGGCACGAAAGCGUGGGGAUCAAACAGGAUUAGAUACCCCGGUAGUC